ACAAGGUGUGUCGGUGCAGAGCAUUGCAUGGAGCUAUAAGGUAGGAAAGUCAACAGUACGCGAAAUCAUAUUAGAGACGUGUAAAGUAAUCUGGCAGCUACUUUCCCUAAUUUAUGUUAGCAAGCCAACAGAGUCUCAAUACAAGGACAUUGCAAACGAUUUUUGUAAUAUGUGGAACAUUCCGAAUUGUGUCGGUGAAAUUGAUGCAUCGUUUUGAGGGCUGUAAGUGAUGCGAAAUAUACUUACGUUCAGAGCAGUUAGUAUUGGCAGCUAUGGAAGUCAAAGUGACGGAGGAAUCUUUCGACUUACUCCAUUUGGCCAUGCAUUAUUACAAAACACUCUGCCUUUGCCACCACCUGUGCCACUGUCUGACGUGUCACCGGAACCUUUUCCUUACUUUUUCGUUGGAGAUGCUGCAUUCCCAUUACGAAAUAAUUUAAUGCGCCCAUUUCCUGGAGCUAAUCUAGCACACACGAAACGUAUUUUCAAUUAUCGAUUGUCACGCGCUCGUAUAGUCAUAGAAAAUUUCUUUGGUAUAUUGACUGCUCGGUGGAGAAUUUUGAAAAUAACGAUUGAAUGUAAUCCAGAAAAUUGUGAAAAAAUUGUGUUGGCUUGCAUAGCCUUACACAAUUUUAUAAUGUUGAAUGACCACAAUCGCUGGUAUUGUCCGGAGAACUAUGUAGAUCGAGUGGAAGGACCCGGUGAGUAUCGCCGGGAAAAUGAAAACAACUCUGUGCGACCAGUGCCAACUUCGGUGCGUAGAGGUCCUUCAAAUGCGUUUAACUUACGGGAGAGACUUGCUAACUAUUUUAUAAAUAAAGGAAUCUGUACCAUUCCAGAACAAUUUAGAGUCUAUUAUAGGAGGACCAUAUGCUCCUGGAGGACCUUAUUAGAAAUAAAUACCAUUUUUUUUUCAAUUCAUAAUUUUUUUCAUUUAAUUUAAUUAAAAACAAAAGCAUAUGU
This is a long non-coding RNA of Bactrocera neohumeralis, 963 nucleotides long. RefSeq lists it as uncharacterized. The record is from RefSeq and is a predicted model, not a curated record. The transcript has 3 exons. NCBI's taxonomy places the organism in Eukaryota, Metazoa, Arthropoda, Insecta, Diptera, Tephritidae.